Molecule: non-coding RNA, 114 nt
Organism: Acanthosepion pharaonis
Lineage: Eukaryota; Metazoa; Mollusca; Cephalopoda; Sepiida; Sepiidae
Source: the annotation of a GenBank genome assembly
UUACGGCCAUAUCUCGUUGAAACACUAGUUCUCGUUCGAUCACUGAAGUUAAACAACGCCGAGCCUCGUCAGUAGCUAGGUGGGUGACCACUUGAGAAUACCAGGUGCUGUAGG